AUGGUCGCCGCCCCCUCCCCCGCCCUAACCGCCGCGGACGCGAGGCAGGCCGCGGCGAGGAAGAAGGAGGAGGACGACGAGGAGGUCGUCUGCUUCAUCUGCUUCGACGGUGGAGACCUCGUCGUCUGCGAUUGGAGGUGCGACGCCGCAGUGCGCGACUUCUUCCACGCCUGGAUGGUCAUUGAGCGCGCCCCUCCUGAUUGCAGUCAGUGCCGCCGCCGUCUCCAAGCUGCAGAGUCCCGUUCCUUUCAGCCCGUGCGUUUCCUCAGCGUGAGAUCGAUCGGGAUGUCCCUAAUCUACUGUGUGUACUUUUAA
RNAcentral lists this ribosomal RNA (315 nucleotides) under Triticum aestivum (bread wheat). RNAcentral describes it as "partial small subunit ribosomal RNA". Lineage: Eukaryota; Viridiplantae; Streptophyta; Magnoliopsida; Poales; Poaceae. The record is from RNAcentral.